UCAGCACACACACACACCUUUAGCUCCCCACCCCCUUCCUCCCUCCAUUUCACCCUCCCCCACUCAUUCUUUUCAGACCGAUCUUCUGCUUGCCUCCCCCCACUACACCGAGGGCCGCCUUAUCUGCUGCCUCUCCACACGCCGCACACAUUCACACAUGUCUAGACUGCACCGGCACAAAAAAACAAGCCACACUGGGGCUGCCCAACCGGCGCGCAGGAACUGCCCUCCGUGCCAAACUACACGAAUGUGCGAGACUCUGAAGCUCAGAUGGGAGGGUUUACAAGGAGUAGACGGAAACGGACACUUGAUGACAGACAGGCCAGAGGGAUAAAUUUUGGAUUCUUAUUGUAAAUGAAGAUGAUGUCCCUAGCACAUUGUCUAACAUCGCAAACUUUGCUAUUGUGUUGGAAGAGGUUUUCAAAGAUGCUUCAGACCUGUAGUGUGCAGUGACAAACAAAACUUCAAGCCUGCAGUUAUAGAUUCAUUUCAUAACCUUGUUUUAAUGUUACCCUCUUAAGCGUCACCUGGAUGCCAACGCACUGAAGCACUCUUUGUUUAUAUUAGUUUUAGUGUAAAUGAUUGUAAUUACCUUGACAAACUAUACAUCAUUAAAAAGAACUAAAACUCAA
Megalobrama amblycephala (Wuchang bream) is the source of this 632-nucleotide long non-coding RNA. RefSeq lists it as uncharacterized. Lineage: Eukaryota; Metazoa; Chordata; Actinopteri; Cypriniformes; Xenocyprididae. The record is from RefSeq and is a predicted model, not a curated record. The transcript is spliced from 2 exons.